UGCCAGCAGCCGCGGUAACACGGGGGGCGCAAGCGUUAUUCGGAAUUAUUGGGCGUAAAGCGCACGUAGGCGGACUGGAAAGUAUGGGGUGAAAUCCCAGGGCUCAACCCUGGAACUGCCUCAUAAACUAUCAGUCUAGAGUUCGAGAGAGGUGAGUGGAAUUCCAAGUGUAGAGGUGAAAUUCGUAGAUAUUUGGAGGAACACCAGUGGCGAAGGCGGCUCACUGGCUCGAUACUGACGCUGAGGUGCGAAAGUGUGGGGAGCAAACAGGAUUAGAUA
Molecule: ribosomal RNA, 279 nt
Filed under: uncultured bacterium
Lineage: Bacteria
Description: partial 16S ribosomal RNA
Rfam family: Bacterial small subunit ribosomal RNA
Source: RNAcentral